GGUAAACACUUACUUGAAAACUCAUUUAUCAGAUUCCAUUGUAGAAGACACAAUUUUUUCUAAAGAAUUCGAGUUCGAAAACAAGCUCAAAUUCAGCAGUCAAUAUGAUAUAAUAUGUACAAAAUUCGGUGCGAAAAACAUUGUAUUAGACUCUUCCCACUGAAGAAGAAAAAGGUAAUAACAUAGCUACUAAUCUAAACCUGUGGAAAUAUACCCAAAUAGCUAGUAAAUGAAUAGUCAAAACUAUUUUAUUUAUUAUCCCUUCUUCAGGUUUUACAAAUACAAGUUGAGAAUGUAUAUUUGAGACACAGAAAGAGAGGCUAAUUACUAUUUUACACCACUAAACAUUGUAUCUGAAACUUAAAAUAGACUAAUGUAGACAAGACUUUCCAAGGACACUUCUAACAACUGAGUAUACAACAAAACACAUUUUGUGUACAUAUUUACAACGUAAUAUUAACAAAAGGGAAGAGAGAGAGGCUAAGUACUUCUGAAAUAUUUGUGAAAGGUUUCUUCCUCUGCACAAUAUCUAUGAAUGACUUUGUAGACCUCAAUUAAAAGUNUAGAAGUGUAUUCCCCAUCCAAAUCACACCUA
Molecule: long non-coding RNA, 595 nt
Filed under: Olea europaea subsp. europaea
Lineage: Eukaryota; Viridiplantae; Streptophyta; Magnoliopsida; Lamiales; Oleaceae
Source: RNAcentral